GACUACUGGGGUAUCUAAUCCUGUUUGAUACCCACGCUUUCGUGCAUCAGUGUCAGUUGCAUCCCAGUAAGCUGCCUUCGCAAUCGGAGUUCUGUGUUAUAUCUAAGCAUUUCACCGCUACACAACACAUUCCGCCUACCUCAUUUGCACUCAAGACCGACAGUUUCAACGGCAAUUUUACAGUUAAGCUGCAAACUUUCACCGCUGACUUAUCAAUCCACCUACGCACCCUUUAAACCCAAUAAAUCCGGAUAACGCUCGGAUCCUCCGUAUUACCGCGGCUGCUGGCACGGAGUUAGCCGAUCCUUAUUCGUACAGUACAUACAAAAGGUUACACGUAACCCACUUUAUUCCUGCACAAAAGAAGUUUACAAUUCAUAGAACCGUCUUCCUUCACGCGACUUGGCUGGUUCAGACUCUCGUCCAUUGACCAAUAUUCCUCACUGCAGCCCCCCGUAGG
Molecule: ribosomal RNA, 460 nt
Filed under: uncultured Paludibacter sp.
Lineage: Bacteria; Pseudomonadati; Bacteroidota; Bacteroidia; Bacteroidales; Paludibacteraceae
Description: partial 16S ribosomal RNA
Source: RNAcentral